CUCCUGACCUCAAGUGAUCCGCCACCUCGGCCUCCAAAGUGCUGGGAUUACAGAAGUGAGCCACCGCGUCCGGCCAAUGAAGGAGUUUUCUAGCUUGUGUCCACAUGAAAGGGGGCAGAAGGAGAAAGAGGGCAGAGGGGAGAUCCUGGUGUCUUGGAGGACAUUUGUAGAUGUGCAUUUGGUAGAUAUGUUUUCACCAGUGACUGUGACACAGAAUGGGCAAAGGCAAUGGACUUCAACAAGGGGAGAAAGGAGAACUGCCGCUCAUGGACUCUCCUAUUUCCUUUUUCUCUCAGGACUUGCAUAGAACAAGAACUUGAAGGGUCUGAGGUCUAGGACAAGAAAGUGGCCCAGAGCCAGCGUCGAAGGAGAAUUGCAAACUGCCCAGGACAGGAUGAGGGUCGGGAGAGAAUUUCAGGCCUGGGUUUCUGGGCAGGAGAGAGAUGCCUAUAUGUCUAAAGAGGGGAGAGGUUUGUAUCCUGAAUCAGAUGGCAGAAGAAAAUGUUCUUUUUGUUAGGCCAUAGACUGGCCCUGACCAAGGGCUUGGCAUGUAUAUUAGGGUACUGUGGGAUGUGGUGGCAGAGGGGAAGGCUGCGGAGGAUAAUGGUAGGGUAUUAAUUACAAAAUUGUAUGCUGCUUUCCAGAGAGGUUCAAAAAUGUAUGGGAAGUGGGAAGGGAAGGGGUGUUACAAGGCAGUGAAUGAUGAAACAAACAUAAUCAGCAGCUUGAACAAGGCAUUUGGAGUUUUCUGGUUUCCUAUGAGGUUCAUCCAUUGCCCUGAAAAGGGUGGCGGUUUUACAAGGAGCCUGGGGCUCCCGCAUUGCUUCUAAGCUAACCUCUACAGCUGCAGCUGAGAAGUGCAUCUUGAAGGGUGUGUAGAUAUGCUGCUCUCCUCUCUAUUAUUUGCUCUUGAAGAGACAACAGAACAGCCUCUUGGCCCUUGGAACUCCAAGUUUGCAUGGAGCUGCCAAAGAAGAUUCAGGAUGAAAGAGAGGUGCAUUAGCUACAAAACUCUAUAAACCAGGCUUAUUGCUCAGCACUUGGGGAUGGAGGACCCAAGUCUUAGUACGUCCUCAAUGGGAAAGUGGGGUGCACUCUGGUUACCCUGCCUAUAGCAGUGUCUUCUGUAGCCUUUGGGAGCCAAUGGGCCUGACAACUGAGCUCAGGACUCAGUGGACAUGUGACCAGAUAGGAAACAACUCUCCACGCCCGGGGAACAGAAACAGAAGCCGGAGAGAAGGGACUGAAAUGCAUCCUGCUGAUCUUACUCUGGUCUUGUCCCUUCACUCACUCCUGUGGAUGGGGAUUGGCUUUUCUUAAGCCCAAGACACUUACAGGAAAACAGAAAGCCCUUGAGAGAAUUCCUUUGCAUGGGAAGGAUUUUAAAGCAUCACCCACACAUACCUGCCUCCAAAGGUGGUAUUCAAAAUACUUAGCAACCAGCUAGGCGCCGUGGCUCAUGCCUGGAAUCCCAACAGUUUGGGAGGCUGAGGCAGGUGGAUUGCUUGAGCCCAGGCGUUCAAGACCAGCUUGGCCAAUAUGGCAAAACCCUAUCUCUCCAAAAAUAAAUACAAAAAUUAGCUGGACCUGUAGUCCCAGCUACUCGGAAGGCUGAGGAAGGAGAAUCGCUUGAGCUUGGGAGGUGGAGGUUACAGUGAGCUGAGAUCACACCACUGCACUCCAGCCUGGGCGACAGAGCGAGACCCUGUCACAAACAAGCCCCAAAUACUAGCAACUGAUACAGCAUCGGCCCUGGUACCAGUUAGACAGACACCCAGCCCCUCAUAACCGGUGCUGGUGCGACCGCAGUGCAGCGGCUCAGUAUUAUGCCUGCUUGACCGUAGGCACUUCGUAGCUUCUCCUUCUCACUCCUAGCGUGAAAAAUGGAAGUGGACAUUUGGCGAAAUGCCUUGCCAGGAUUUGAGCAACGUUGUGAUUCUCUAGAGACCUGAAGGAAAGAGCUGGCAGCCUGAGGCUUUGGGGACCCUCUUGAAGAUGGGUCCUCUCAUGCCAUGUGAGCUGAAAGAUCUUGGAAGAAAGGACAGUAUGCUCUGGGACCUAAAACGUCUUUCUCCUUUUUUUCUCUGGAUCACAGUCACGCUAUCCACCAGCCAUCCCACACUCCAAGCUCCACUAGGAACCGAUAUGCACCUCAGGUCUGGAGUGCCUGCAUUCCUGAUCGACCGUGUUCAAGAGACUGAUUGCACUGGAUGAGACUCCCUAAAAAACAGUGGAGAGCUUUAUCCCCGCCUCCAAGCCGACCUGCACUUCAAUAUUCCACAGACUCAAGAUGGAUCAGUUUUCUCCCUUUUCUACCACAUCCAAGGGUCGGCCGUGCUCCAGGGCUUCUACUCUCUCUUCCAUCUUUGCAUAUCUGGAUGUGGCCUUUUCCUCCUCACCCAGCACAUGUCCUCCCUGACAUUUGCAGGGCAGAGGAGGUGGCCAGUAAGGCGUCUCUCCCUUCGAUUGCCAACCUCCAUCUUCAGCUCAGAGUCCCUCAACCCGGAUCUAUCUAUAGAUGGAUGCAACUGCAAAUAGCGAGGUAUGUUGAAGAUGAAGGUAUUUGCAACAGAUGAGGGAUUGUCUUGCAGGCCGGGGCCCCCGAGAGUCGCAGAGGGCGUCAGGUCAUUUUGUAACUCGAUGGUUCACAUGUGCCAGAAAUAUUUGCACUCCGAUACGGCUCCCUCUGGUUUCAGAUUUAGGAACAUUCCAAUGGUUCAGGAAUCCGAAGGCUCCAGCAGACAACAUUUAUAGUCACUUGGGGAACCUCUGCUUUAAAUAUUCUCAAAGGACGGGAGGCAAGAAGGCAUUGUGCAGCAAGGAGCUGCUUCAGCUUGGCUGCCUGACUCCACGGGAUUAUCACUCCUCUUCUACUGCAGGGAGGAAGAGAGCACAAAGCCUGGAGGUCACGGUGCC
Macaca mulatta (Rhesus monkey) is the source of this 2916-nucleotide long non-coding RNA. Lineage: Eukaryota; Metazoa; Chordata; Mammalia; Primates; Cercopithecidae. The record is from Ensembl.